UCAGUUCGGAUUGGAGUCUGCAACCCGACUCCAUGAAGCUGGAUUCGCUAGUAANCGUUCGCAUCAGCCACGGCGCGGUGAAUACGUUCCCGGGCCUUGUACACACCGCCCGUCAAGCCAUGGAAGCCGGGAGUGCCUGAAGUGCGUGACCGCAAGGAGCGUCCUAAGGCAAUACCGGUGACUGGGGCUAAGUCGUAACAAGGUACC
Molecule: ribosomal RNA, 207 nt
Filed under: uncultured bacterium
Lineage: Bacteria
Description: partial 16S ribosomal RNA
Rfam family: Bacterial small subunit ribosomal RNA
Source: RNAcentral